AAACACCACUAUAUGGCUGUGACUGCUAUGCUUAUGCCCUUUUGGCGUCCGGUUAUGUGGAUCUUGUUGUUGAAUCUGGUCUUAAGCCAUACGAUUUUCUUGCGCUCCUACCUGUGAUAGAAGGUGCCGGGGGUGUCAUAACUGAUUGGAAAGGACAUCAGCUCCAGUGGGAGGCUUCUCCAAAUUCACGUGCAACAACUUUUAAUGUAUUGGCAGCUGGGGACAAACGAAUUCAUCAGCAAGCUUUGGAAUCGCUCGAGUGGCAAUGAUGUUUGAGUUGAGCUGAGAUACAGUUCUUUAGUCUCUGCGUUGAUUACAUGUAGGGGUCCUUUAUUGAUGGAUUUAAGGGAAAGAAAUGAAUGCAAAAGAUAACGUAGGAGGAGAGGAUGCAUUCAUCGUCUUUGUAAGAUGUACAUUAGGAAGUAAUUUGCAAGGAGAUAUUUAUAUUGUCCCCUAAUAAAAUGUUUAUCAAGAAGGAUAUGCUCCUUCCAUUUAACUUGUUUGUCGCUUUUCUCCCCUGCUAAUUUACAUCUCUAGAGAAGACCAUCUGAAACGCUUCUGGACCAUAGGUUUCUAUUAACUAUUUAU
Morus notabilis is the source of this 588-nucleotide long non-coding RNA. RefSeq lists it as uncharacterized. The record is from RefSeq and is a predicted model, not a curated record. Lineage: Eukaryota; Viridiplantae; Streptophyta; Magnoliopsida; Rosales; Moraceae. The transcript is spliced from 3 exons.